AUGCUGCAAUCAAGAAUAAAGGUUGUGUCACACCUUUUCCUGAACUUUGGCUCAACUGAAGAAGGAAACUUUCAGGGGAAUUCCAAUAGUAAACAACGGAACCAGCAGUUUUACAAUAAACUGCAGAGCUCCAUUUCAAAACACAAAAAUAGAGCGUCUCUGCAGUGAUGUACUGCCUUAAGGAAGGGUCUUCUCUGUAGUCCUGGAAAUUCCCAGUGUUCCCUCC
Molecule: long non-coding RNA, 226 nt
Filed under: Pan paniscus (pygmy chimpanzee)
Lineage: Eukaryota; Metazoa; Chordata; Mammalia; Primates; Hominidae
Description: lncRNA (ENSPPAG00000044770.1)
Source: RNAcentral